RNAcentral lists this ribosomal RNA (978 nucleotides) under uncultured Lactobacillus sp. RNAcentral describes it as "bacterial SSU rRNA". It matches the Rfam family "Bacterial small subunit ribosomal RNA", at positions 61 to 1006 of the family's 1533-position model. Lineage: Bacteria; Bacillati; Bacillota; Bacilli; Lactobacillales; Lactobacillaceae. The record is from RNAcentral.
GUCGAGCGAGUCUGCCUUGAAGAUCCCGAGUGCUUGCACUCUGUGAAACAAGAUACAGGCUAGCGGCGGACGGGUGAGUAACACGUGGGUAACCUGCCCAAGAGAUCGGGAUAACACCUGGAAACAGAUGCUAAUACCGGAUAACAACAGAUGAUGCCUAUCAACUGUUUAAAAGAUGGUUCUGCUAUCACUCUUGGAUGGACCUGCGGUGCAUUAGCUAGUUGGUAGGGUAACGGCCUACCAAGGCGAUGAUGCAUAGCCGAGUUGAGAGACUGAUCGGCCACAUUGGGACUGAGACACGGCCCAAACUCCUACGGGAGGCAGCAGUAGGGAAUCUUCCACAAUGGACGCAAGUCUGAUGGAGCAACGCCGCGUGAGUGAAGAAGGGUUUCGGCUCGUAAAGCUCUGUUGUUGGUGAAGAAGGACAGGGGUAGUAACUGACCUUUGUUUGACGGUAAUCAAUUAGAAAGUCACGGCUAACUACGUGCCAGCAGCCGCGGUAAUACGUAGGUGGCAAGCGUUGUCCGGAUUUAUUGGGCGUAAAGCGAGUGCAGGCGGCUCGAUAAGUCUGAUGUGAAAGCCUUCGGCUCAACCGGAGAAUUGCAUCAGAAACUGUCGAGCUUGAGUACAGAAGAGGAGAGUGGAACUCCAUGUGUAGCGGUGAAAUGCGUAGAUAUAUGGAAGAACACCGGUGGCGAAGGCGGCUCUCUGGUCUGUUACUGACGCUGAGGCUCGAAAGCAUGGGUAGCGAACAGGAUUAGAUACCCUGUAGUCCAUGCCGUAAACGAUGAGUGCUAAGUGUUGGGAGGUUUCCGCCUCUCAGUGCUGCAGCUAACGCAUUAAGCACUCCGCCUGGGGAGUACGACCGCAAGGUUGAACUCAAGGAAUUGACGGGGCCCGCACAAGCGGUGGAGCAUGUGGUUUAUUCGAGCACGCGAGACCUUACCAGGUCUUGACAUCCAUAGCCAGUCUAAGAGA